GGGUUGUGAGGUUAAGCGACUAAGCGUACACGGUGGAUGCCCUGGCAGUCAGAGGCGAUGAAGGACGUGCUAAUCUGCGAUAAGCGUCGGUAAGGUGAUAUGAACCGUUAUAACCGGCGAUUUCCGAAUGGGGAAACCCAGUGUGAUUCGUCACACUAUCAUUAACUGAAUCCAUAGGUUAAUGAGGCGAACCGGGGGAACUGAAACAUCUAAGUACCCCGAGGAAAAGAAAUCAACCGAGAUUCCCCCAGUAGCGGCGAGCGAACGGGGAGCAGCCCAGAGCCUGAAUCAGUGUGUGUGUUAGUGGAAGCGUCUGGAAAGGCGUGCGAUACAGGGUGACAGCCCCGUACACAAAAAUGCACAUACUGUGAGCUCGAUGAGUAGGGCGGGACACGUGGUAUCCUGUCUGAAUAUGGGGGGACCAUCCUCCAAGGCUAAAUACUCCUGACUGACCGAUAGUGAACCAGUACCGUGAGGGAAAGGCGAAAAGAACCCCGGCGAGGGGAGUGAAAAAGAACCUGAAACCGUGUACGUACAAGCAGUGGGAGCACGCUUAGGCGUGUGACUGCGUACCUUUUGUAUAAUGGGUCAGCGACUUAUAUUCUGUAGCAAGGUUAACCGAAUAGGGGAGCCGAAGGGAAACCGAGUCUUAACUGGGCGUUAAGUUGCAGGGUAUAGACCCGAAACCCGGUGAUCUAGCCAUGGGCAGGUUGAAGGUUGGGUAACACUAACUGGAGGACCGAACCGACUAAUGUUGAAAAAUUAGCGGAUGACUUGUGGCUGGGGGUGAAAGGCCAAUCAAACCGGGAGAUAGCUGGUUCUCCCCGAAAGCUAUUUAGGUAGCGCCUCGUGAAUUCAUCUCCGGGGGUAGAGCACUGUUUCGGCAAGGGGGUCAUCCCGACUUACCAACCCGAUGCAAACUGCGAAUACCGGAGAAUGUUAUUACGGGAGACACACGGCGGGUGCUAACGUCCGUCGUGAAGAGGGAAACAACCCAGACCGCCAGCUAAGGUCCCAAAGUCAUGGUUAAGUGGGAAACGAUGUGGGAAGGCCCAGACAGCCAGGAUGUUGGCUUAGAAGCAGCCAUCAUUUAAAGAAAGCGUAAUAGCUCACUGGUCGAGUCGGCCUGCGCGGAAGAUGUAACGGGGCUAAACCAUGCACCGAAGCUGCGGCAGCGACGCUUAUGCGUUGUUGGGUAGGGGAGCGUUCUGUAAGCCUGUGAAGGUGUGCUGUGAGGUAUGCUGGAGGUAUCAGAAGUGCGAAUGCUGACAUAAGUAACGAUAAAGCGGGUGAAAAGCCCGCUCGCCGGAAGACCAAGGGUUCCUGUCCAACGUUAAUCGGGGCAGGGUGAGUCGACCCCUAAGGCGAGGCCGAAAGGCGUAGUCGAUGGGAAACAGGUUAAUAUUCCUGUACUUGGUGUUACUGCGAAGGGGGGACGGAGAAGGCUAUGUUGGCCGGGCGACGGUUGUCCCGGUUUAAGCGUGUAGGCUGGUUUUCCAGGCAAAUCCGGAAAAUCAAGGCCGAGGCGUGAUGACGAGGCACUACGGUGCUGAAGCAACAAAUGCCCUGCUUCCAGGAAAAGCCUCUAAGCAUCAGGUAACAUCAAAUCGUACCCCAAACCGACACAGGUGGUCAGGUAGAGAAUACCAAGGCGCUUGAGAGAACUCGGGUGAAGGAACUAGGCAAAAUGGUGCCGUAACUUCGGGAGAAGGCACGCUGAUACGUAGGUGAAGCGACUUGCUCGUGGAGCUGAAAUCAGUCGAAGAUACCAGCUGGCUGCAACUGUUUAUUAAAAACACAGCACUGUGCAAACACGAAAGUGGACGUAUACGGUGUGACGCCUGCCCGGUGCCGGAAGGUUAAUUGAUGGGGUUAGCGCAAGCGAAGCUCUUGAUCGAAGCCCCGGUAAACGGCGGCCGUAACUAUAACGGUCCUAAGGUAGCGAAAUUCCUUGUCGGGUAAGUUCCGACCUGCACGAAUGGCGUAAUGAUGGCCAGGCUGUCUCCACCCGAGACUCAGUGAAAUUGAACUCGCUGUGAAGAUGCAGUGUACCCGCGGCAAGACGGAAAGACCCCGUGAACCUUUACUAUAGCUUGACACUGAACAUUGAGCCUUGAUGUGUAGGAUAGGUGGGAGGCUUUGAAGUGUGGACGCCAGUCUGCAUGGAGCCGACCUUGAAAUACCACCCUUUAAUGUUUGAUGUUCUAACGUGGACCCGUGAUCCGGGUUGCGGACAGUGUCUGGUGGGUAGUUUGACUGGGGCGGUCUCCUCCUAAAGAGUAACGGAGGAGCACGAAGGUUGGCUAAUCCUGGUCGGACAUCAGGAGGUUAGUGCAAUGGCAUAAGCCAGCUUGACUGCGAGCGUGACGGCGCGAGCAGGUGCGAAAGCAGGUCAUAGUGAUCCGGUGGUUCUGAAUGGAAGGGCCAUCGCUCAACGGAUAAAAGGUACUCCGGGGAUAACAGGCUGAUACCGCCCAAGAGUUCAUAUCGACGGCGGUGUUUGGCACCUCGAUGUCGGCUCAUCACAUCCUGGGGCUGAAGUAGGUCCCAAGGGUAUGGCUGUUCGCCAUUUAAAGUGGUACGCGAGCUGGGUUUAGAACGUCGUGAGACAGUUCGGUCCCUAUCUGCCGUGGGCGCUGGAGAACUGAGGGGGGCUGCUC
This 2660-nucleotide ribosomal RNA is filed under the name Escherichia coli. RNAcentral's name for it is "partial 23S ribosomal RNA". It matches the Rfam family "Bacterial large subunit ribosomal RNA". RNAcentral also lists the same sequence under 1 other name. Lineage: Bacteria; Pseudomonadati; Pseudomonadota; Gammaproteobacteria; Enterobacterales; Enterobacteriaceae. The record is from RNAcentral.